UACAGAGGGGGCAAGCGUUAUUCGGAAUUAUUGGGCGUAAAGGGCGCGUAGGCGGUAUGGCAAGUGGAAGGUGAAAUCCCUCGGCUUAACCGAGGAACUGCCCUCCAAACUGCUUUACUUGAGGCCGGGAGAGGUGAGUGGAAUUCCCAGUGUAGCGGUGAAAUGCGUAGAGAUCCGGAGGAACACCAAAGGCGAAGGCAGUGUCCUGGGGAGUACCUGACGCUCAGGUGCGAAAGCCAGGGGAGCGAACGGG
This 253-nucleotide ribosomal RNA is filed under the name uncultured bacterium. RNAcentral's name for it is "partial 16S ribosomal RNA". It matches the Rfam family "Bacterial small subunit ribosomal RNA", at positions 524 to 776 of the family's 1533-position model. The record is from RNAcentral.